CCCAGACUCCUACGGGAGGCAGCAGUGGGGAAUAUCGCACAAUGGGGGAAACCCUGAUGCAGCAACGCCGCGUGAGUGAAGAAGUAUUUCGGUAUGUAAAGCUCUAUCAGCAGGGAAGAAGGAAGACGGUACCUGACUAAGAAGCCCCGGCUAACUACGUGCCAGCAGCCGCGGUAAUACGUAGGGGGCAAGCGUUAUCCGGAUUUACUGGGUGUAAAGGGAGCGUAGGCGGUGAUGCAAGUCAGAAGUGAAAGCCCGCGGCUCAACUGCGGGACUGCUUUUGAAACUGUAUGACUAGAUUGCAGGAGAGGUAAGUGGAAUUCCUAGUGUAGCGGUGAAAUGCGUAGAUAUUAGGAGGAACACCAGUGGCGAAGGCGGCUUACUGGACUGUAAAUGACGCUGAGGCUCGAAAGCGUGGGGAGCAAACAGGAUUAGAUACCCCGGUAC
This 447-nucleotide ribosomal RNA is filed under the name uncultured bacterium. RNAcentral describes it as "partial 16S ribosomal RNA". It matches the Rfam family "Bacterial small subunit ribosomal RNA", at positions 330 to 793 of the family's 1533-position model. The record is from RNAcentral.